UGGGGAAUAUUGCACAAUGGGCGCAAGCCUGAUGCAGCAACGCCGCGUGAACGAUGAAGGUCGUCGGAUCGUAAAGUUCUGUUGCAGGGGAAGAUAAUGACGGUACCCUGUGAGGAAGCCCCGGCUAACUACGUGCCAGCAGCCGCGGUAAUACGUAGGGGGCUAGCGUUAUCCGGAUUUACUGGGCGUAAAGGGUGCGUAGGUGGUCUUUCAAGUCGGUGGUUAAAGGCUACGGCUCAACCGUAGUUAGCCUCCGAAACUGGAAGACUUGAGUGCAGGUGAGGAAAGUGGAAUUCCCAGUGUAGCGGUGAAAUGCGUAGCUAUUGGGAGGAACACCAGUAGCGAAGGCGGCUUUCUGGCCUGCAACUGACACUGAGGCACGAAAGCGUGGGUAGCAAACAGG
Molecule: ribosomal RNA, 403 nt
Filed under: Verrucomicrobiota bacterium
Lineage: Bacteria; Pseudomonadati; Verrucomicrobiota
Description: Verrucomicrobia bacterium partial 16S ribosomal RNA
Rfam family: Bacterial small subunit ribosomal RNA
Source: RNAcentral